AGUGAACGCUGGCGGUAGGCCUAACACAUGCAAGUCGAACGGCAGCACAGUAAGAGCUUGCUCUUACGGGUGGCGAGUGGCGGACGGGUGAGGAAUACAUCGGAAUCUACUUUUUCGUGGGGGAUAACGUAGGGAAACUUACGCUAAUACCGCAUACGACCUACGGGUGAAAGCAGGGGAUCUUCGGACCUUGCGCGAUUGAAUGAGCCGCUGUCGGAUUAGCUAGUUGGCGGGGUAAAGGCCCACCAAGGCGACGAUCCGUAGCUGGCCUGAGUGGAGGGUCGCCGGCCUUGGAGGGUGACCGCCGUCCAUGCGCCUACGGGAGGCCGCAGUGUCGAACGUUGGACAAUGGUGGGAAGCCUUGUCCAGUGGUCCCGCGUCGGAUACGACGGCCUUCGGUUCGUAAUGCCGUUUUGUUGGUUGAGAAACGCAUCAGGCUGAGACGACGCUGUACUGACGGUACCCGGAGAAUAAGCACCGGCUAACUUCGUG
This 492-nucleotide ribosomal RNA is filed under the name uncultured bacterium. Its description in RNAcentral is "partial 16S ribosomal RNA". It matches the Rfam family "Bacterial small subunit ribosomal RNA", at positions 29 to 507 of the family's 1533-position model. The record is from RNAcentral.